UUUGAAUUCAUAAUCAAUAGACAAAAAAACUGGGCAGGAAUUGAUUUAUGAAAACACCAGGUCUGAGAACUCGAUCGACUUCCAUCAGGUACAUCCAGUCUGCAAAUUAAAUGUGGUUUAAACAUGAAGGGACUAUUUAAUUCAUUGUCUAAAACUUGAGGAACUGAUUUAUAGCUUGAGGAGUGGCAGAAUUACACUCAUAAUUUCCCUCCGAACGUAUCCAGUUCAUCAUCGUCAUCGAUGGCGGCAGCUACAAAUUCCAUCCUCCUCAAACUCAAACCCAAAAUAAAAAUAAAAAUCUGCAAUCCACUUUUUGGCUAUCCUCGCAGUAGCAGUAGUGCUUCAGCCUCUAUCCCACACUUGUUCUCCACAACAACACUCCCAUAUGCAGAUGCUGAUUCUGAUUGUUCAAGCGAGAUUAAAGCCACCACAGACGCAAACCCUAACUUCAUUCACCCCUCCGCCGACGUCCACCCUAACGCUAUCAUUGGCCACGGUGUUUCAGUUGGUCCAUUUUGCACAAUCGGGUCUUCAGUAAAGCUUGGAAAUGGAUGUCGAUUAUAUCCUGGAAGCCAUGUUUUCGGAAAUACUGAGAUUGGGGAUCACUGUCUUUUGAUGCCUGGAGCUGUGGUUGGUGAUCAUCUUCCUGGACGUACAGUUUUGGGAUGCAAUAAUGUUAUCGGUCAUCAUGCUGUCAUCGGUGUCAAAUGCCAGGAUUUGAAAUACAAGCCAGGGGAUGAAUGUUUUCUUCACAUUGGAGACAAUAACGAGAUUAGAGAACAUACUUCAAUUCACCGAUCUUCAAAAUCAAGUGAUAAAACGGUUAUUGGUGAUAACAAUCUUAUCAUGGGCUCCUGUCAUAUUGCUCAUGACUGCAAUAUUGGCAACAAUAACAUUUUUGCUAACAAUACUCUUCUAGCAGGCCAUGUUGUUGUGGAAGAUUACACUCACACUGCUGGAGCCAUUGUUGUUCAUCAAUUUUGCCAUAUUGGUUCCUUUUCUUUUGUUGGUGGUGGAUCUGUGGUUUCACAAGAUGUCCCAAAGUACACGAUGGUGGUUGGAGAAAGAGCUGAGCUUCGCGGUUUGAAUUUGGAAGGUCUUCGGCGUAAUGGAUUCACAGCCACAGAGCUACCAACUUACACUGAAUGCUUUUGAUAGCAGGACUGAUUCUGCGUCCAUCUAAACAAGGUGCAAUCAUGUGACUACCAAUUCAUUCAUUCAUUCAUUUUUUUGGUUGCUUUUACUUAUUCAUUCAUUCAUUCAUCCAUUCAUCAUCAUCAUCAUCAUCAUCAUCAUCAUCAUCAUUAUUUUUUUGGGGGGAGGGGGGUGUUGUUCUAGAUACCAUUGUUUUCUUUUACAAAUUUAUCUGUCUCUAAUAAAGCUUGACUCUCUCUCUCUCUUUUUUUCAUUCUUUAGUAUAUAAUUUCUGGCUCCUUUCAUUCUUGAAACUCCCUGUGAACCUUUCUAACAUAGUGUUGUCGAUAAUUUUUAUUUAUUAAUGUUGUGAUUUGCUGCUACAAAUUUCACCUCAUUUCCUGCAACCUUCUGCAAUGGUGUAAAUUGUUUAAUAAUUGGGCAAAGUAUUAAUCUUCUCAUUUCCUUCAAUCCUUCUAUUUCAUUCUCUAAGAAUAGAGUGAGUGCGUUGGCCAAUAUUGUAUGGUUGGACACCUAGCUCCCAUGCCAUAUUUAUGCUAUUAUAUAAAAAAGUUAAUCAAAUUGGCUUAUAUAUACUUCAUGGGUCCAUUGGCAUCCAAGAAGUAUAAAUUGUGGUACUAAGGAGAGCUCUCAUCUCUUAUUAAACUUAUGCAUGCCUCUUGUUGUUUGAGGAUGUGUCAGGCUUUCAUUUGAAAUCUUUUCACAUUUAAACUGUUUGGGAACGUGGUGCAAACCGUGUUCUCAAAAAAUUCAAAUAUUUUUUUUUUGCUAAAAUUUAAUAUGGUUUGUACGUUUUGGAUCGUUUUGAUGUGCUGAUGUCAAAAAUGAUUUUUAAAAAAUGAAAAACAUCAUUAGCAUGCAUUGCGGCACGGAAAAUUAUUUGAAAAGCAACCACUACCACACUGCCAAACACAUUCAAAAUUCUUAACCAUUUAAGAUAUAGAUUUGGUGAAUUCUGCUUUUCUGAAUAAUGAACCUUAUAUUUCUAAUAUUUUUCACCGACAUCUUUACCUGCUUAAUAUUUUGAAUUAAUCUCUACGCCCCCUUUCCUUUUUCUGUCACAUAAAUGAUUAAAUUGUAUAUUUUUGGUCAAUGAUCUAGAUUAAAAGUUUGAGAACAGCUUACAGAAACAUAUUCAUGCCUGUUGAUUCUAAUUCUACAAGUUUUGAAGAACGCAUUACCAAAGUGGAAGAGGACAAAGAACUGGGUAAGAUAACUGCUGUGUGUACCAUGAUACAGUCUCUUCGUG
Populus nigra (black poplar) is the source of this 2404-nucleotide RNA transcript. It is a transcript of the gene named probable acyl-[acyl-carrier-protein]--UDP-N-acetylglucosamine O-acyltransferase, mitochondrial, with no coding region annotated. The record is from RefSeq and is a predicted model, not a curated record. The transcript has 10 exons. NCBI's taxonomy places the organism in Eukaryota, Viridiplantae, Streptophyta, Magnoliopsida, Malpighiales, Salicaceae.